This is a long non-coding RNA of Pipistrellus kuhlii (Kuhl's pipistrelle), 311 nucleotides long. RefSeq lists it as uncharacterized. Lineage: Eukaryota; Metazoa; Chordata; Mammalia; Chiroptera; Vespertilionidae. The transcript has 2 exons. The record is from RefSeq and is a predicted model, not a curated record.
CGGAGAAACUUUUUAAAAUAUGGAAAACUAAUUGGAUUAAGUUGUUAGAGAAAAUAGGACAAGAAAACCUAGAUCAGGAAAGGAGAAAACCAAAGAUGUAAGAAUAAUUCGAGAGAGGUAUUUUAAUUUAGGGCAAAUCCAACGAGUAGGAGAUCAUGGGGAAGCCAUAUAAAGAAUGAGAUGGAAACAGCUAAACUCAACUCCCUUUCUUGGAGUUGAGGCUCAGCAGAAAGAGUAGAAGUGUAAGAGUUGGAAAGAGAAACAGAAUAGAAACUGAAGUAAUGUCAUAUCCACUAAGAGUAUUAGAAUUU